CAAAGCAUAGCUUAACUAAAGCACCUUGCUUACACCAAGAAAAUAUUUGUGAAACCCAAGUUACUUUGA
RNAcentral lists this transfer RNA (69 nucleotides) under Phytotriades auratus (El Tucuche golden frog). RNAcentral describes it as "tRNA-Val". The record is from RNAcentral. Lineage: Eukaryota; Metazoa; Chordata; Amphibia; Anura; Hylidae.